Osmia bicornis bicornis is the source of this 331-nucleotide long non-coding RNA. RefSeq lists it as uncharacterized. The transcript has 4 exons. NCBI's taxonomy places the organism in Eukaryota, Metazoa, Arthropoda, Insecta, Hymenoptera, Megachilidae. The record is from RefSeq and is a predicted model, not a curated record.
CGGUGCUUCAACAGGAUCACACAGCCUUAUAUACACCCAAAUAUUAUAAAGAUCAUUAAGCAUUUUGCUUAUCCUGUAAGGGCCCGUCCAGUCACAAUCAAACUUAGAAAUUCUGGGCUCCUUGAAUUCUGGGCCGCAAUAAUCUGAGUAGUAGUGAUUUUAGUAAAGAGCUCGUCAAAGUGUUGCGCAAUGGUACGUGGUGCUUGUCCUCUAGCAAAUUCGGAGGGUAUCCUGGCUUUAACGCCAAAAACUAAUUCGUGAGGAGUAAAACCUGUAGCCUCAUGUGUGGAGUGCAAUAAUGUUUCAGAUAAUUAUAAAACUUCUGUGUGCC